GAAACCGGGUGAUCUAGCCAUGGGCAGGUUGAAGGUUGAGUAACAUCAACUGGAGGACCGAACCGACUAAUGUUGAAAAAUUAGCGGAUGACUUGUGGCUAGGGGUGAAAGGCCAAUCAAACUCGGAGAUAGCUGGUUCUCCCCGAAAGCUAUUUAGGUAGCGCCUCGGACGAAUACUACUGGGGGUAGAGCACUGUUAAGGCUAGGGGGUCAUCCCGACUUACCAACCCUUUGCAAACUCCGAAUACCAGUAAGUACUAUCCGGGAGACACACGGCGGGUGCUAACGUCCGUCGUGGAGAGGGAAACAACCCAGACCGCCAGCUAAGGUCCCAAAGUAUUGCUAAGUGGGAAACGAUGUGGGAAGGCUCAGACAGCUAGGAUGUUGGCUUAGAAGCAGCCAUCAUUUAAAGAAAGCGUAAUAGCUCACUAGUCGAGUCGGCCUGCGCGGAAGAUGUAACGGGGCUAAGCAAUACACCGAAGCUGCGGCAAUAUCUUUUAGAUAUUGGGUAGGGGAGCGUUCUGUAAGCCGUUGAAGGUGAAUCGUAAGGUUUGCUGGAGGUAUCAGAAGUGCGAAUGCUGACAUGAGUAACGACAAAGGGGGUGAAAAACCUCCUCGCCGGAAGACCAAGGGUUCCUGUCCAACGUUAAUCGGGGCAGGGUGAGUCGACCCCUAAGGUGAGGCCGAAAGGCGUAAUCGAUGGGAAACGGGUUAAUAUUCCCGUACUUCUGACUAUUGCGAUGGGGGGACGGAGAAGGCUAGGUGGGCCAGGCGACGGUUGUCCUGGUUCAAGUGCGUAGGCUUGAGAGUUAGGUAAAUCCGGCUCUCUCUAAGGCUGAGACACGACGUCGAGCUGCUACGGCAGUGAAGUCAUUGAUGCCAUGCUUCCAGGAAAAGCCUCUAAGCUUCAGAUAGUCAGGAAUCGUACCCCAAACCGACACAGGUGGUCGGGUAGAGAAUACCAAGGCGCUUGAGAGAACUCGGGUGAAGGAACUAGGCAAAAUGGUACCGUAACUUCGGGAGAAGGUACGCUCUUGAUGGUGAAGUCCCUCGCGGAUGGAGCUGACGAGAGUCGCAGAUACCAGGUGGCUGCAACUGUUUAUUAAAAACACAGCACUGUGCAAAAUCGCAAGAUGACGUAUACGGUGUGACGCCUGCCCGGUGCCGGAAGGUUAAUUGAUGGGGUUAGCGCAAGCGAAGCUCUUGAUCGAAGCCCCGGUAAACGGCGGCCGUAACUAUAACGGUCCUAAGGUAGCGAAAUUCCUUGUCGGGUAAGUUCCGACCUGCACGAAUGGCGUAAUGAUGGCCACGCUGUCUCCACCCGAGACUCAGUGAAAUUGAAAUCGCUGUGAAGAUGCAGUGUACCCGCGGCUAGACGGAAAGACCCCGUGAACCUUUACUACAGCUUGGCACUGAACAUUGAACCUACAUGUGUAGGAUAGGUGGGAGGCUAUGAAGACGUGACGCCAGUUGCGUUGGAGCCGUCCUUGAAAUACCACCCUUGUAUGUUUGAUGUUCUAACUUAGACCCGUUAUCCGGGUUGAGGACAGUGCCUGGUGGGUAGUUUGACUGGGGCGGUCUCCUCCCAAAGAGUAACGGAGGAGCACGAAGGUGGGCUAAUCACGGUUGGACAUCGUGAGGUUAGUGCAAUGGCAUAAGCCCGCUUAACUGCGAGAAUGACGGUUCGAGCAGGUGCGAAAGCAGGUCAUAGUGAUCCGGUGGUUCUGUAUGGAAGGGCCAUCGCUCAACGGAUAAAAGGUACUCCGGGGAUAACAGGCUGAUACCGCCCAAGAGUUCAUAUCGACGGCGGUGUUUGGCACCUCGAUGUCGGCUCAUCACAUCCUGGGGCUGAAGUCGGUCCCAAGGGUAUGGCUGUUCGCCAUUUAAAGUGGUACGCGAGCUGGGUUUAGAACGUCGUGAGACAGUUCGGUCCCUAUCUGCCGUGGGCGUUGGAAGAUUGAAGGGGGCUGCUCCUAGUACGAGAGGACCGGAGUGGACGAACCUCUGGUGUUCGGGUUGUGUCGCCAGACGCAUUGCCCGGUAGCUAAGUUCGGAAUUGAUAAGCGCUGAAAGCAUCUAAGCGCGAAGCGAGCCCUGAGAUGAGUCUUCCCUGACGGUUUAACCGUCCUAA
RNAcentral lists this ribosomal RNA (2131 nucleotides) under Vibrio cholerae. RNAcentral's name for it is "partial 23S ribosomal RNA". It matches the Rfam family "Bacterial large subunit ribosomal RNA", at positions 717 to 2831 of the family's 2925-position model. The record is from RNAcentral. Lineage: Bacteria; Pseudomonadati; Pseudomonadota; Gammaproteobacteria; Vibrionales; Vibrionaceae.